This 327-nucleotide ribosomal RNA is filed under the name uncultured Chlorobiota bacterium. Its description in RNAcentral is "bacterial SSU rRNA". It matches the Rfam family "Bacterial small subunit ribosomal RNA", at positions 28 to 351 of the family's 1533-position model. The record is from RNAcentral. Lineage: Bacteria; Pseudomonadati; Chlorobiota.
GACGAACGCUGGCGGCGUGCUUAACACAUGCAAGUCUACGAGAAAGAGGUAGCAAUAUCUUGAGUAAAGUGGCGCACGGGUGAGUAACACGUAAGCAAUCUACCCUUAGAUUGGGAAUAACCCCGAGAAAUUGGGGCUAAUACCGAAUAAUGCAGCGGCACCGCAUGGUGAUGUUGUUAAAAACCUUGAGUUGUCUAAGGAUGAGCUUGCGUCCGAUUAGCUAGUUGGUAGGGUAAUGGCCUACCAAGGCUACGAUCGGUAGCUGGUCUGAGAGGAUGAUCAGCCACACUGGAACUGAGACACGGUCCAGACUCCUACGGGAGGCAG